GAGGUUAGCUCAGCUGGGAGAGCGCUUGCAUGGCAUGCAAGAGGUCAGCGGUUCGAUCCCGCUUAGCUCCA
Molecule: transfer RNA, 71 nt
Filed under: Phytobacter palmae
Lineage: Bacteria; Pseudomonadati; Pseudomonadota; Gammaproteobacteria; Enterobacterales; Enterobacteriaceae
Description: Kosakonia sp. S29 tRNA_Ala_GGC
Rfam family: tRNA
About the family: Transfer RNA (tRNA) molecules are approximately 80 nucleotides in length. Their secondary structure includes four short double-helical elements and three loops (D, anti-codon, and T loops).
Source: RNAcentral